UGAUGAAUGGGAGAGAGAGAGAGAAAGCGUAAGCCAUGGGCCCACAGGAAUAUAACCGUUAAGGGCCCGAUGGAAAUCGAAGCUUCUGAUUUUGACUUAACCCGCUGAGAGAAUCUGAUUUGUCACACUUGAGAUGAAGCUUGUGAUUUGAUAGACUUUGAUUGAGAUCCUUAAGUAAUUAUGUCAUGCAGAAGAUGGAUUUUGGAACACAGAUAGGACAUUUCUUAGAGAUAAGAGGUUUUGAAAAGAAUAUCCAAUCAUGUAGCCCUUGAGAUAAGAUUUAGAGAAGAUCCUAUGGACUUUAGAAAGUUUCACCAUUUGUAGUUAGCCAGCAAACAAGCAAGAAUAACCCUAACUACAAAUGGGUCAACAUGGCCACAAAGACUAAGAUCCAAAUGGUUUUGCAAAAAGCACACUUCCUAUCAUGCUAGUUAAAUUUUUUUGAAAAUUUAUCCUAUCUCACGCAGAGCAUACAAUGAUCAUAUAGACAAGAUAAGAGUAGUUAUGUUUAACUCAUGCCCUCUUUCACCGAUUAAAAGGACAUAGAACAUAUUCUAGUCAACAAAGAUAGAGAGGCAUCAAUUAAAUAUCCAAAACCCAUCCCAAC
Molecule: long non-coding RNA, 607 nt
Filed under: Setaria viridis
Lineage: Eukaryota; Viridiplantae; Streptophyta; Magnoliopsida; Poales; Poaceae
Description: long non-coding RNA (SVIR_LNC003554)
Source: RNAcentral